This is a non-coding RNA of Oxyura jamaicensis (ruddy duck), 447 nucleotides long. The record is from the annotation of a RefSeq genome assembly. NCBI's taxonomy places the organism in Eukaryota, Metazoa, Chordata, Aves, Anseriformes, Anatidae.
GUUGACCUUGGUUAUAGCGCCUUCACCCUCCUCCUCCUCCUCCUCCUGGCCGCCGUCCCAGGGCUGCGGGCGGCCACGUUGGACGAGUCCGGAGGGGGCCGUGUGAAGCCCGGGGGGUCCCUGACCCUGGUCUGCAAGGGCUCCGGAUACACCUUCAGCAGCUACACCAUGUUUUGGGUGCGACAGGCACCAGGGAAGGGGCUCGAGUGGGUUGCGGGUAUUAGCUACAGUGGUGGUACCACAAGAUACGCGUCGGCGGUGCAGGGACGCUUCACCAUCUCCAGGAACAACGGGCAGAGCACGGCCACCCUGCAGAUGAACAGCCUCAAGGCCGAAGACACCGCCACCUACUACUGCGCGAGAGAUGAUGCUGGUAGUGCUUGGAGUGGUGAUAGUGCUGCUGGUGUUGAUGGCCGACAACAUUAACGUCACCAAGGCCACCAUGAG